CCGCCCGCGGGGGAACAAAGAGACGCGGCGCGGCUCCCGCCCGGCGGCGGCGCUUACCUGCUGCAGGGCCGCCAGCAGCAUCAGCGCCAGCGGCGGCAGGAUCCGCGGCGGCGCUCCCGCUGCCCGGCACAUGGAGGCGAGGAGGGGCGGCGGCGGGGCGGCCCCCGGCAGUCCCGGAGCGCGGCUGGAGCCCGCGGAGCGGAGAGGGUCGGCGCCGGCAGCUCCCGCGGCUGCGGACGGUGUCUCGCCGCCGCCUGCCGGAGCCGGCUGCCGCGGCGCUGCCUGCUCGCUGCCGCUCUAGCUCAUGGGCAGCGAUGCAGCGGGGGAAGAGAGAGACAGAGAAGAGAGAGAGGCGGAGGAUGGGUGAAACUCAGCGCUGGGUCAGGCUGCUUUUCUCUCUGCCGAGCCCCCUCCGCGGUGCAGAGGGUGGGCAGGGAGGAGGAGGAGGAGGAUGAGCGAACAAAAGGCUGGGAGAUAAGAAAGAAGCAGUCGCUGCUGCUGGUGCGGCGGCGCGGCGGCUGCCUUCCCCGCGCCCGGCUCGCGUCCUCCUCUGCCCGCUGCCGCCGGCUCCUCGGCGCGCAGCCCCGCGUGCCGGCCCCAGCGCUGCUGCGCGCCCGCCCCGCGCCUCUCCCCCGCUGCACUUUCGCUCUCCCUCUUUCUUCUCCUCCCUCCACCCCUCCCCCUGCACGCAGAACCCUCCGCUGGAGCACAAUGACAACAAUACCGGGCAGCCUGCGCGGCGCUCUGCGCGCCCUGCGUGCGUGCGUGCGUGCGUGUGUGUGCGCGCCCGGUGCCUGCCUGCUCCUGCCCGCUGCCGCUGCCAGCUCCCCCUCCGCCUCCCGGCUCUCCCUGCCGCCCGCACGGCCAAUGGGCACGGCUCGGCUCGGCACCGCAAGCGCCGGGGAUCGCUGCUGCCUGCAGAUCGCGCUGCCCCUCGUCGGUGCCGAGGCCGAGCCGGCGUUUGGUGCGCGGCAGGGGCCACGAGUGCUAAUUCACCCCUGCGACAACCCCCCCCCCCCAAAAAAAACCCCACCAAACACAACAACAACACGCCAGCCCAGUAACUUGGUUUGCUGCAAUAGCUUGUGGGGCGAGGUUGAAAGAGCGAGGGGAGAACUUGCUGGGCAGGGAGGAAGGCGCCGACCCUGGGGUGCGCGUCAGCAGAGGGGACAAAAAUGCAGCGAGAAACACCGGGAGGAGUCGGGGGUGCCCUGCUUGGGGGCGAUGGCGAGGGGCCACCUGCCCGGCCGGCUGCACCGCAAGUUUCGGUCAGGUCUUCCUGCUUCGCCUGCUGCUUUUUUUUCCCGCUCCUCCCCUCCCCCCCCGUCUCACUCCGUUGUUUCCAAACUACCUGCUUAA
RNAcentral lists this long non-coding RNA (1359 nucleotides) under Apteryx haastii (Great spotted kiwi). RNAcentral describes it as "lncRNA (ENSAHAG00000001306.1)". The record is from RNAcentral. Lineage: Eukaryota; Metazoa; Chordata; Aves; Apterygiformes; Apterygidae.